Molecule: ribosomal RNA, 261 nt
Filed under: uncultured bacterium
Lineage: Bacteria
Description: partial 16S ribosomal RNA
Rfam family: Bacterial small subunit ribosomal RNA
Source: RNAcentral
AACGCGCGACGGGUGAGUAACNCGUAUCCAACCUGCCGUCUACUCUUGGACAGCCUUCUGAAAGGAAGAUUAAUACAAGAUGGCAUCAUGAGUCCGCAUGUUCACAUGAUUAAAGGUAUUCCGGUAGACGAUGGGGAUGCGUUCCAUUAGAUAGUAGGCGGGGUAACGGCCCACCUAGUCUUCGAUGGAUAGGGGUUCUGAGAGGAAGGUCCCCCACAUUGGAACUGAGACACGGUCCAAACUCCUACGGGAGGCAGCAUG